RNAcentral lists this long non-coding RNA (1433 nucleotides) under Gossypium barbadense (sea-island cotton). RNAcentral's name for it is "long non-coding RNA (GBAR_LNC011166)". The record is from RNAcentral. Lineage: Eukaryota; Viridiplantae; Streptophyta; Magnoliopsida; Malvales; Malvaceae.
CGAAUGGGAAUGGAGAAGAUAUCUCUAUUGUUGAAGAUUCAAAUACAAAGAAAGUUCGUUUUAAGGACACGGAUACGGCUUUGGAGGAUGUGAUAGUGGUGGAUCCUUUACCAAUGUCUCCGUUGUCGUGGAAGGACAAGUUAUUGGGGAAGGAUAAUCUCAACUAAGAUCACAAGAACAAAGCCCAGCCUACUGCUGAUAGUUUUUUUCUUUUUGAUCAGGAUGUGAAGGAAGUCUAUUGUAGAUGGUGUGCCCUCUAUAGACUUCUCUGAUAGAGUGUACCAAAUCCUGGAGAAGGAAAUGUCUACUUCGAUUAUUCUCAAGAUACUGGGCAGGAAUAUUGGAAUUUCAACAUUACAAAAUAAACUCUAUGGGAUUUGGAGACCGUCGAAACCAUUUCAAUUAAUGAACAUUGAAAACGGUUAUUUCCUUGCAAAAUUUCAGAAUUCCAUUGAUUAUGACAAGGUACUCUCUCAGGGGCCGUGGAUUAUAUUCGACUAUUAUCUUACUGUCCAGCCAUGGUCGAUUGACUUUAACUCCAAUCUUCCUUAUCCUAACUUGAUCCAAACUUGGAUUCGUUUCCCCAGACUUCCUAGUCACCUGUAUAAAAGACAGAUUCUCAUGGAAAUUGGGAGUCUGAUUGGCAAGAUUACAAAGCUGGAUAUCAACACGGAUAGUAGGGCAAGGGGACGAUACGCUCGUAUGGUAGUGUUUGUUAAUUUGGGGAGGCCUCUGAUCUCUAAGAUUCUCAUCAAUGGUAACCCGCAAAGAAUAGAAUAUGAAAAUUUACCUGUUGUGUGUUUUAAGUGUGGUCGUUAUAGUCAUACUGACGAAGCAUGCUCAUUGACUAUUUCGUCUAUAGGGGUGGUCGAGAAUGAGGUCUCAUCGGGGUAGGCUACUGUAGCGACUACGGCGAUCGGAGAAGGAGAAUACGGGGCCUUGGAUGUUGGUGGAGCAGAAAUCUAGACGUGGUAAUUUGGAAGGUGCGAAGAAAGGUAACAAUUUGAAAAAAAAGAGGAGAAAAUUCGGGAUCGCGUUUCCAUUCUCUGGCAGAUUUAGAGGCGAGUUCUUUAGAGCAAGAAUCUACCAAGAACCCUAAAUCAAUGUUGGAAAGUAAAGGUAAAGGAAUAUUAAUUGACUCUGACGUUAAUGUGAAUACAGGUAGGAAAGCUGUGGGGAACGGUCUUAAUAAAACCAAUCUGAAUUGGCCUAUUGGUAAGCCUUAAAAGGGACAGGCCCGAUCAUCCAAGUCCAACACUAAAAUGAUUACCCACUCCACGGGUGUGAAUAAGAAGGGCCUGGAGAAUCCGUUAGUUUUAAGUGCAGCUAAUCCACCUAAUUCGUCCAAUAAUGAAAAAACCCAUGGUAGUGGGUUUAGUGGGCUACAGUUGGAGCUUCAAUCUUCGAAGAACCAUUUAGAAACUGAUCCUAAG